RNAcentral lists this unclassified non-coding RNA (3297 nucleotides) under Hevea brasiliensis (rubber tree). The record is from RNAcentral. Lineage: Eukaryota; Viridiplantae; Streptophyta; Magnoliopsida; Malpighiales; Euphorbiaceae.
CUCUCUCUCUCUCUCUUUCUCACACACGCACAUACACACUCACACCAAAGGAGUCACAACAGUUCACAAGAAGAAUGGACUGGUAACUCCAAAAGCCAAAACCAAAACCUACACUGUACUCAAUUUACAGAGUAUGUGCAGCAGAUAAGUUAGCAUUUUUGCAAAUUCAUAAACUCAUUAAAACUCUGAGAUUGCUGAUGGAAACUAGAGAAAGCACAGAAGUCACAGUAAGAAAAACAAAUCUUACACCCAAAGCUAUUAUAUACCAAAAGUUCGGUAGCAAAGCAUGCUAUAAAGUGGAGGAAGUGCAGGAGUCUACUCAGAAUGGAUGCCCAGGCUUGGCAAUCCCACAGAAGGGUCCCUCACUUUAUCGUUGCAGCUUAGAACUUCCUGAACUUUUUGUUGUGUCAGACGUCUUUAAAAAGAAGAAGGAUGCUGAGCAAUGUGCUGCAGAGAAGGCUUUGAAAGAGUUAGGCAUCAAUCCUGCAGCUGAUUAUCCGACUGAGCAGGAACCAUGGGAUGCUUUAAUUGAACGAAUGACAUAUCUAUUCUCUGAUGAGUUUCUUCAAUCUGUUCACCCAUUCAGUGGUCACCUUAGGGCCACUUUGCAGAGAGAAGGUGACCUCUGUGGUUCAGUACCAGCUUCUGUUGUUGCUGUCUGUGAUGCAAAAUUAAGUAAUUUAUGUAAAAUACUUAAUCCUAAGGUGGAAGCAAAUCCUUUCUUGGCUUUGUCAUUUGUCAUGAGGACAGCUGCACAAUUGUCUGGGUCUGUUGUUACCACCAAGGGGAACCUUUCAAUCCAGAAAAAAAAUCCAUACCCUUCAGAGAUCAUAGAGUUAAUAGACAUCCAAAAGUCUGAUUCCCUACAAAACACAAUGGUUGAAGCUGUACAUAUUCCAUUUUCUCUGGAUAAGACUGUUCAACCUGUCCGUCUUAAUAUUUUGUCAGAUGGAUAUUACCUGGAUGCUAUUGCACAAAAACUUGGUGUGACGGAUGCCAACAAGGUUCUGCUCUCAAGGGCUAUUGGUAAAGCUUCGUCUGAGACAAGGUUACACUUUGCUGCUCCUGAAUCAGCUAUGUUAGAUGUGUCAGCAGAUCUUGUAAAUUUGGAAGGACCUUUGAAUGUAAGGGCAAGUUACUUCUGUGGUCAAAGUAUAUAUGGUGAUGCAAUUAUGGCGUCGAUUGGUUACACAUGGAGGUCUAAAGAUCUUUUCCAUGAAGAUAUAUCCCUGCAAUCAUAUUACAGGAUGCUUAUAAGCAAGAUGCCAAGUGGAAAUUACAAGUUGUCCAGAGAAGCAAUACUUGCAGCGGAAUUGCCUUCAGUAUUCACCACAAAAUCAAAUUGGAGGGGUUCCUUCCCAAGGGAAAUCCUAUGCUCAUUCUGCCGGCAGCAUCGGCUAUCUGAACCUGUUUUCUCCACUAUAAAUCUACCUUUAAAAGAUCAGUCCUCGUCAAGAUCACACAAGGAGAUGAGUGUCACAGAGGGAGUUGAACAGGAGACAGAAUAUGCUAAUGGAAGAGGUAUUGCUACUGGUGAUCAAGAGUCAGUGGAAUCUGCAAGCAUGUUUAGAUGCAAGGUGAAAAUAUUUUCCAAGUGUCAGGAUUUGAUCAUAGAGUGUUCACCUGAGCAGAUUUAUAAGAAGUCAAAUGAUGCGAUCCAUAAUGCUUCUCUGAAAGUUCUUUCAUGGUUGAAUGAAUAUUUUAAGGACCUUAGCAUGCCUGUGGAAAAGCUAAAUUAUUUGGCUGAUGUCCUUCACAUCCAAUUUUAUCCUGAAAACUUCUUUAAAGCGUUUUUGUUGUGUUCUUCUGUUCAUAGUCUUCAGCACAGGGGGAAAGGGAGAAAAUUACCAGAAAUUAGAAGUGUGAAUGUGCCACAUACUUCACCAGAUGUUUGCUCUUUGAACAUAGAGGGUUUAGAUUCUGGUGUCUGUCCAUCAACUGAAUCAUUAUUAUGCAUAAGUUAUUCUGUAUCUCUGGUGACAGAAGGUAAACAUGUGAAACAGCUUCUCGAGAGCAAUGAUGAGUUUGAGUUUGAGAUGGGGUCAGGGGCAGUGAUUUCCCCUCUUGAAUCAGUUCUCACACAGAUGUCAGUCGGUCAGUCUGCUUUUUUCAGUAUGAACUUGCCUCCUUGUGAGUAUAUUUUAGCAUCAACUGAUGAUUCUGAGGGGAUUAUUUCGUUGUUAACGUCAGAAACUUGCUGCUUGGACUAUACUGUAACCUUGUUGUGUGUGACUGAACCCCCAGAAGAAAGAAUGGAGCAAGCUCUUUUUAGCCCUCCACUUUCAAAACAAAGGGUGGAAUAUGCUGUGCAACACAUCAAACAAUCUUGUGCUACUACUUUGGUUGACUUUGGCUGUGGCUCUGGAAGUUUAUUGGAUUCUUUAUUAGAUUACCCGACUUCUUUGGAAAAAAUUGUUGGUGUUGACAUAUCACAAAAGAGUCUUAGCCGUGCAGCAAAGAUACUUCAUUCAAAACUAAGCACAAAAUCAGAUACAAGCAUCAAAUCUGCUGUUCUUUAUGAUGGUUCAAUCACAGAUUUUGACUUUCGAUUAUGUGGAUUUGAUAUAGGCACUUGCUUAGAGGUAAUUGAGCAUAUGGAGGAGGACCAGGCCUGUAUGUUUGGUGAUAUUGCAUUAAAUUAUUUUCGUCCAAAGAUUCUUAUUGUUUCCACUCCAAACUAUGAAUAUAAUGUGAUUCUCCAAAGAUCAAGUCUCACAAACCCAGAAGAAGAUCCAGAUGAGAAAACUGAAUCACAGUCUUGCAGAUUUCGCAAUCAUGACCACAAGUUUGAGUGGACUAGAGAGCAGUUCAAUAAAUGGGCAACUGAAUUAGCCAAUAGGCACAAUUAUAGUGUUGAGUUCAGUGGGGUCGGUGGUUCUGCUGAUGCAGAACCAGGGUUUGCUUCUCAGAUUGCUGUCUUUAUGAGGAAGAUCCUACCUCAGGAAGAUGAUGUUUCAGAGAACGAAAAUUCUGCACAAAAUUGCAAAGUUGUAUGGGAGUGGAACAGUGUAGAUAGAUCAGAUUCUUCUCUUUGACACAUAUCUAACUUUAGCCGGAGUUAUAAUUGAGUUUAUUGCAGCAAUAGGCUGUAAUUAUAUGUCAAAAAAUUUUGAAAUAGAGGGAGCAAAAGAAUGAAGAAUGAACAUACCAUCCAUGUCCAUGUAGAGACAAAUGGAUUUUGCAGACGAUAUGGAACCAAAUGAGCCCUUUGAGGCAUUUUCAAUAUUCAAACUUUUGACCAUACUAAGUUAAUGUAUUUGAUUUCAGCUUCGUCUGACAUUGAGUUUUGGAAGCUGA